GACGAACCGUGCGAACGUUAUUCGGAAUCACUGGGCUUAAAGCGCGUGUAGGCGGCCCGGCACGUCCGUCGCUGAAAUCCCCCGGCUCAACCGGGGAAGUGGCGUGGAUACGACCGGGCUGGAGGGGGGUAGGGGGAGCCGGAACUUCCGGUGGAGCGGUGAAAUGCGUUGAGAUCGGAAGGAACGCCCGUGGCGAAAGCGGGCUCCUGGACCCCACCUGACGCUGAGACGCGAAAGCCCAGGGGAGCGAACGGG
This 255-nucleotide ribosomal RNA is filed under the name uncultured bacterium. RNAcentral describes it as "partial 16S ribosomal RNA". It matches the Rfam family "Bacterial small subunit ribosomal RNA", at positions 524 to 776 of the family's 1533-position model. The record is from RNAcentral.